This 150-nucleotide non-coding RNA is filed under the name Synedropsis cf. recta. Lineage: Eukaryota; Bacillariophyta; Fragilariophyceae; Fragilariales; Fragilariaceae. The record is from RNAcentral.
GGACAGGCGGUCUUUGAUCGUCUGCUGAAAGCUUGCAACGAGGUGGUUUGGAAAGGGGAAGCCAUUCAGGUCCUUAGUCAGAUUCAAGUCGACCCACCAUAUGCUAUUGAAAACUGCAGGCUUCUCUCUGAUGCUGGAAGACAAUCGGAA